RNAcentral lists this transfer RNA (73 nucleotides) under Fukomys damarensis (Damara mole-rat). It matches the Rfam family "tRNA". From Rfam's summary of the family: Transfer RNA (tRNA) molecules are approximately 80 nucleotides in length. The record is from Rfam by way of RNAcentral. Lineage: Eukaryota; Metazoa; Chordata; Mammalia; Rodentia; Bathyergidae.
GGGGAUUUAGCUUAGUGGGUCUAGUGCCUGUCUCACAAACACAAGGACCCAAGUUCAAUCCCUGGUACCCUCC